GUUCAGCUGACAAGGCAACAUCAGCGAAAUACAAAAAAAGUGAUUCUUUCACGUACCACUGGAGGAAGCUCACGUACCACUCGUGGUAUCCGUACCACACUUUCCGAAUCACUGUUCUAUGACAUUCCCAGGUUGACACCACAUUUCAGAACAACGAGAGGAAAACGAAGUGAUGAUUACAUGCUCGUGUGCCAAAGUGGGAUUUAACGGCGAGCUGUUUUGU
Phyllopteryx taeniolatus (common seadragon) is the source of this 223-nucleotide long non-coding RNA. RefSeq lists it as uncharacterized. Lineage: Eukaryota; Metazoa; Chordata; Actinopteri; Syngnathiformes; Syngnathidae. The record is from RefSeq and is a predicted model, not a curated record. The transcript is spliced from 3 exons.